GAUGAAGAACGUAGCGAAAUGCGAUAAGUAAUGUGAGUUGCAGAAUUCAGUGAAUCAUCGAAUCUUUGAACGCACAUUGCGCCCCUUGGUAUUCCGAGGGGCAUGCCUGUUCGAGCGUCAUUAUAACCCCUCAAGCUCAGCUUGGUGUUGGGGCCUGCCGCACGGGCAGCCCUUAAAAUCAGUGGCGGUGCCAUCUGGCUCUAAGCGUAGUAAUUCUUCUCGCUAUAGAGUCCCGGUGGAUGCUUGCCAUUAACCCCCAAUUUUCUAUGGUUGACCUCGGAUCAGGUAGGGAUACCCGCUGAACUUAAGCAUAUCAAUAAGCGGAGGA
RNAcentral lists this unclassified non-coding RNA (328 nucleotides) under soil metagenome. RNAcentral describes it as "partial contains 5.8S ribosomal RNA, internal transcribed spacer 2, and large subunit ribosomal RNA". The stretch from base 1 to 120 matches the Rfam family "5.8S ribosomal RNA", at positions 35 to 154 of the family's 154-position model. The record is from RNAcentral.